GAAUCUUGGUCAAUGGGCGCAAGCCUGAACCAGCGAUGCCGCGUGAGUGAUGAAGGCCUUCGGGUCGUAAAGCUCUGUCAGAGGGGAAGAACCACCUGAAGGUUAAUAUCCUUCAGGCCUGACGGUACCCUCAAAGGAAGCACCGGCUAACUCCGUGCCAGCAGCCGCGGUAAUACGGAGGGUGCAAGCGUUGUUCGGAAUUAUUGGGCGUAAAGCGCGUGUAGGCGGUCUGUUAAGUCGGAUGUGAAAGCCCCGGGCUCAACCCGGGAAGUGCAUUGGAAACUGGCAGACUUGAGUACGGGAGAGGGUAGUGGAAUUCCGAGUGUAGGGGUGAAAUCCGUAGAUAUUCGGAGGAACACCGGUGGCGAAGGCGGCUACCUGGACCGAUACUGACGCUGAGACGCGAAAGCGUGGGGAGCAAACAGG
Molecule: ribosomal RNA, 426 nt
Filed under: uncultured bacterium
Lineage: Bacteria
Description: bacterial SSU rRNA
Rfam family: Bacterial small subunit ribosomal RNA
Source: RNAcentral